This 393-nucleotide ribosomal RNA is filed under the name uncultured bacterium. Its description in RNAcentral is "bacterial SSU rRNA". It matches the Rfam family "Bacterial small subunit ribosomal RNA", at positions 143 to 518 of the family's 1533-position model. The record is from RNAcentral.
AUAACAUCCGGAAACGGGUGCUAAUACCGCAUAGUUUUCUUGAUUGCAUGAGUUGAGAAAGGAAAGACGGCCUUUGUGCUGUCGCUUAUGGAUGGACCCGCGGCGUAUUAGUUAGUUGGUGAGGUAACGGCUCACCAAGACGAUGAUACGUAGCCGACCUGAGAGGGUGAUCGGCCACAUUGGGACUGAGACACGGCCCAAACUCCUACGGGAGGCAGCAGUAGGGAAUCUUCCGCAAUGGACGAAAGUCUGACGGAGCAACGCCGCGUGAGUGAAAGAAGGUUUUCGGAUCGUAAAACUCUGUUGUCAGAGAAGAACAAGUUGGAGAGUAACUGCUCCAGCCUUGACGGUAUCUGACCAGAAAGCCACGGCUAACUACGUGCCAGCCGCGGC